Molecule: long non-coding RNA, 740 nt
Filed under: Mytilus galloprovincialis (Mediterranean mussel)
Lineage: Eukaryota; Metazoa; Mollusca; Bivalvia; Mytilida; Mytilidae
Source: RNAcentral
ACGGGUUAUGAGUGCUAACAAACGGGAUAAGUUCUGUAUUACUCUCUUUGCGUGCUGUGGACCUGAGUUCCGUCAUUGGUAUAGCUUUUGCCUUUUCUAUUCCCUUUUCUAUUAGUGGGUUUGGAUAGUUUUGUUCUUUCAAAAACACCUUCAGUUCAUUCAAACGUAAUUCCUUCGUGAAAUCAUCACUCACAAUUGUACAUACACGUCGUGCUAGACAAAACGGGAUGUUUCUUUUCGUAUGUGAAGGAUGGCAUGAAUGAAAAUUCAGGUAUUGGUGGGUGUCCGUCUUCUUAUAAUAUAUAUCUGUGGUUAAGGUUGUUCCAUUCUUUAAUAUUAAAAUAUCUAGAAAUGGCAGUCUUUGUUCGCUAGAUUCGAUGGUAAAUUUAAUCGAAGGAUGUAAUGUGUUUAUCAGACUAUGAAACUUCUCUAAAUUGUGACUUUUGUUUAAAAUGAUAAAACAGUCGUCUAAGAAUCGCUUCCAUUCCGAUUUUACGUACACUUUAAAAGCUGUAUCAAAUUCACUUUCAACUUGUUGAUACAUUUUAUCCUCCAGAAAUCCCAUCACGAGAGUUGCGUAUGUGGGAGCAACUUUUGUUCCCAUAGCUGUACCAGAGAUCUGUAGAUAAUAUUUUCCAUCAAAGAAAAAGGUGUUAUUAUCUAGUAUGAUUUUCAAUCCCUCCAACAAAAAAUUAUUCGAAAAUCUUUGGUCGAUAAUGUGCCUAUAUGACUCUAGCCAA